RNAcentral lists this ribosomal RNA (274 nucleotides) under uncultured bacterium. RNAcentral's name for it is "partial 16S ribosomal RNA". It matches the Rfam family "Bacterial small subunit ribosomal RNA", at positions 523 to 796 of the family's 1533-position model. The record is from RNAcentral.
AUACGGAGGGUGCAAGCGUUAAUCGGAAUUACUGGGCGUAAAGAGUACGUAGGUGGUUUAUUAAGUCAGAUGUGAAAGCCCCGGGCUCAACCUGGGAACUGCAUUUGAAACUAGUAGACUAGAGUAUGUUAGAGGGGGGUAGAAUUUCUAGUGUAGCGGUGAAAUGCGUAGAUAUUAGAAGGAAUACCAGUGGCGAAGGCGGCCCCCUGGACCAAUACUGACACUGAGGUACGAAAGCGUGGGUAGCGAACAGAAUUAGAAACCCUUGUAGUCC